CCUACGGGGAGCAGCAGUGGGGAAUAUUGGGCAAUGGGCGCAAGCCUGACCCAGCAACGCCGCGUGAAGGAAGAAGGCUUUCGGGUUGUAAACUUCUUUUCUCAGGGAAGAAGCAAGUGACGGGUCCUGAGGAAUAAGUCACGGCUAACUACGUGCCAGCAGCCGCGGUACUACGUAGGUGGCAAGCGUUAUCCGGAUUUAUUGGGGGGAAAGGGCGGGUAGGCGGGGACGCAAGUCAGAUGUGAAAGCCACGGGCUCAACCUGUGGCCUGCAUUUGAAACUGGGUUACUUGAGUACUGGAGAGGCAGACGGAAUUCCUAGUGUAGCGGUGAAAUGCGUAGAUAUUAGGAGGAACACCAGUGGCGAAGGCGGUCUGCUGGACAGCAACUGACGCUGAGGCGCGAAAGCGUGGGGAGCAAACAGGAUUAGAUACCCUAGUAGUC
RNAcentral lists this ribosomal RNA (443 nucleotides) under uncultured bacterium. RNAcentral's name for it is "partial 16S ribosomal RNA". It matches the Rfam family "Bacterial small subunit ribosomal RNA", at positions 338 to 795 of the family's 1533-position model. The record is from RNAcentral.